CCUACGGGAGGCAGCAGUGAGGAAUAUUGGUCAAUGGUCGGGAGACUGAACCAGCCAAGCCGCGUGAGGGAUGAAGGUACAGAGUAUCGUAAACCUCUUUUGUCAGGGAACAAAGGCGGGGACGUGUCCCCGGAUGAGUGUACCUGAAGCAAAAGCAUCGGCUAACUCCGUGCCAGCAGCCGCGGUAAUACGGAGGAUGCGAGCGUUAUCCGGAUUUAUUGGGUUUAAGGGGUGCGCAGGCGGUCUGUUAAGUCAGCGGUCAAAGCCCGGGGCUCAACCCCGGCCCGCCGUUGAAACUGGCAGUCUCGAGUUGGAGAGAAGGAUGCGGAAUGCGCGGUGUAGCGGUGAAAUGCAUAGAUAUCGCGCAGAACUCCGAUUGCGAAGGCAGCAUGCUGGACUGAAACUGACGUUGAGGCUCGAAAGCGUGGGGAGCAAACAGGAUUAGAUACCCGAGUAGUC
This 459-nucleotide ribosomal RNA is filed under the name uncultured bacterium. RNAcentral's name for it is "partial 16S ribosomal RNA". It matches the Rfam family "Bacterial small subunit ribosomal RNA", at positions 338 to 795 of the family's 1533-position model. The record is from RNAcentral.